Molecule: transfer RNA, 75 nt
Filed under: Sphingobacterium multivorum
Lineage: Bacteria; Pseudomonadati; Bacteroidota; Sphingobacteriia; Sphingobacteriales; Sphingobacteriaceae
Also listed under: 2 other names
Description: tRNA-Ile(gat)
Source: RNAcentral
GAAUGUGCGGUCUGCCGGGCAUCGUCCUGAUAGGACGAUAAAUCUUGGCAGGCUCUGAUAUCUGCUACAUCCACC